RNAcentral lists this long non-coding RNA (722 nucleotides) under Spirodela polyrhiza (greater duckweed). RNAcentral's name for it is "long non-coding RNA (SPOL_LNC001107)". Lineage: Eukaryota; Viridiplantae; Streptophyta; Magnoliopsida; Alismatales; Araceae. The record is from RNAcentral.
AGAGCAAGGAGAGAUUUUUUUUCCUUCUCUGGGAGGCCGAACCAAGGAGGAGGCCUCUCUGUGUUCCAUGAUGGCUCUCGCAGCCCAAUUCCGUCCCCUCCUGUCUUGCUCACUCCAUCUACCGGGAGAGCCGCUCUCCUCGUCAGCUCUGCUGGCCGGCGCCCCUCUCCGGCACUCGCUGGCCGUUGUUCCAGGUUGGUUGCUUUCUCCUUCGCUUCUGGACCACAGUGUGGAGAUUAUGCACAUCCUGCCGUCUUGUGAAGAUGGCGAUCUCAUCUUCUCGUGCACAGUACGCGGAAGGCAUGUGCUGAUGUUUCCCCUGCGAAUACUAGCAGCUUAAAGUUGUCUUCCACUGAGGAACUGUAUGAAACAGUGUUGAAAUUAGAGUGAGGAGGAUGUAAACAGCAACUGCGAAGGUUAUUGAUGUUUCCUCCUUUGGCGAAAUCCUUCUCUACACCUUGUUCAGUCUUCAGAUGCCAUCACAAAAGUUCUCUACUAAUUUCAGUCUCAUUGUCUAGUAUCGUUAGUAGCAUGCUUGCUCGAUAAGGGGGGCGCCUAGUUUAGGGUCGGAGAGACGUUCUUCUCUCAUUCAGGCAAAACUGAAUGCGUAGCAUGCUAUUUUAAUAAUCUGUUUAUUGAACACGAUGAUGAUGCGGGCCAGUGAUGAUUCUAAAGCCUAGGGGAUGUGGAUGCUCGUUUUCUCACCUGGUACUGAACUGGGG